This 4219-nucleotide long non-coding RNA is filed under the name Mus musculus (house mouse). Its description in RNAcentral is "long non-coding RNA chr12:75337902-75342121". Lineage: Eukaryota; Metazoa; Chordata; Mammalia; Rodentia; Muridae. The record is from RNAcentral.
GUAUUUGAUAUACAAGGAUGAAGAACUGAGUUCAGAUCUACAGCGUCCACAAAAAAAAAAAAGCUAGAGUGCUCAUACCCCAAGAGAAAGCAGAGACGGACAGACCUUCUUUGACUCACGAGCCAACCAGUCCAGUCAAAACAGCAAGCUCCAGACCAACCAAUAAGAGGCUGUCUCAAAAAUAAAGUGGAACACAAUCAAAGAAGACAUCCAACAUCAGCCUCCGGCCUACAAACACAAACACACACACACACACACACACACACACACACACACACACUAGUUCCUUCAUCAUCUGUGUGAACAAGGACCCACAUCAUCCACAUUAAAAAAGUGUCUAAAAGCCAGGCAGUAGUGGCACACACCUUUAAUCCCAGCACUUGGGAGGCAGAGGCAGGUGGAUUUCUGAGUUCGAGGCCAGCCUGGUCUACAGAGUGAGUUCCAGGACAGCCAGGGCUAUACAGAGAAACCCUGUCUUGAAAAAGCGAAAAAAUAAAAUAAAAUAAAAUAAAAUAAAAUAAAAUAAAAUAAAAUGUCUAAAAGUCUUAACAAAUAUUUUUGCGUUUCAUGAACGAAAGUUUAUAAGAACAAAAUGCUUUUAUUUCUUAGUCAUUUUUACAUAUUGAUUCUUCACUCCAAAAAGUAUUUGUCUUCAUUCCUACCUUUCCCCUCUGAUCUUUUUGAGUCCUUUAUAAGGAACAUUGAGCAAAAUAUGAAUAAACACAAACAAAUUUACCAGUUCCAUAAACCACUAAUGAACCCACAGCACCUUGCUUCAUGGCCUUAGCAGCUAAGCAAAUAAAUCGAAAUCGCUCCCUUUAUAGCACAUUAUGCUUAAACUACAGUGUAGCUUUUAAUUUUUUUCAAACCUUAUUUUUAGUGAAGGUUCUUAAACACUUUAACCUCUUCUGUCAUCCACCACCCUCCAAAGGUAGUGGAAAACAAAGGAUACAGGGAAUGGGGAAAGAGUGGGCCUGUUUAGAAAAGUUUUUUGGAGCAACUCCCAUCUAUGUUGUCUGGAAAUCAGCAGUUCAGUUCACAGGUUAGCAGGUAAUGGCUUCUCCGUUCACUUGCAAACACUUCAUGGAUACACCAGCAGUCCAGUUCAGUACAGUCAGGUUAGCAACAGCCAUGGCAUGACCUAGCAGAGACAGCCAAGCCUCAGCCUCAGCUCACGUGAACAGGAGAAACCCAGAGGGACACCAGGAGAAGUUCUCAGCUGUGCCUCUCUCAGAGAAGCAAAGAUCAGCCCUACAAGUGUUGCACAGCUAGCUGUACCAGCAAACCAAGCUCUGUCUCCAUCACUCCAUGGAGUCCUAUUUAAAACCUCCAAACAUCACAUGUCCUCCACAUGUCUUGCCUCAGUAUGUGUAUCCGAUAAGCCCGAGUCCGUGGUGUCCCAACAAAUGGAGCUCAACUACGCAAUGGAAGGCAGACCAAUACAUUCAUGUUGUUAGCAAAGAAUCCUUCAUCAUGUAUCCUUUCAUGUGCUUGCCUUAGCAGAGCAUCCUCUCUCCUGUAUCUGCUUCAGUGAAACAUUCCUUCAAAAGUCUGCCUUAGUCUUUCACCUGUGUCUACUUCAGGAAAACACUCCUUCGCAUGUUUGCCCCAGCAAAACACCAUCCAACACAACUGACUCUCCAACGAACCCUUAAGUUUCUACCUCACCAUGGUUUUCCUUGAAGACAUGGGAAGUGGGGAGAGCAGUGAUGUUUUUGCAAAAGCCAUGUCUUAUAAUUAUGUUGAUUAGCCAUAUUGGGGAACAGAUGCAUCCACAAUCAAGAAGAUGGAUUGGGAAUCAAAUAUGCCUCAAUACCAUACUCAGCCCUAUAACUCGGGAUGGUUAGAUUCUAGUCUAGCCUAGUCUCCUCUCUCAGCUUCUAGCUAGUCUCUCCAUCUGUAAAAUGCACAUGACACUUUUUUUCUUGAGCUUCUGAGGAUGAGUCAAGCCAGCCCAUCCACCCAUGUGGGAGCACAGCAGUGGCUUCCACUACUGUUGUUCUGUCCAGGUGCUAGAUGUAAUCAAUCCAACAUCUUUGUCCUUCGGAAAUAGCUCCUCUUGUAAACUGUUUUCCAUGACUAUGGUUGGUUUGCCACAUCCAGGAAGGAGCAAAUGACACACAACACCCAUAGGCAGGAUGGCCGUGUGUUGACUCCUCGUAAGACCUCUCAUGGGGUUGAAAGUGAGGAAGCUUCAGAAAGGGGACAGUGGUGACAGUUGGGUGGUUAAGAUGCUGACAUGCAUGAGGCAGGAAAUGAUGCAAGAUGACUUCCUCCAGGCAUUCUAAAUCUGCCCUUUAUUCCUCUUAGGAAAGUUUAUGGGAGUCACCACUUUGCCAGCUACAUCUCAAUGGAAGAUUUUCAGGCCUUAGGCAUCCAGGUGUACUCCCUUCCGUUCAGACACUUGUAAAGGUUAUUUUCCACAAGUGCUGGCUUUUGUCUUAUUUUGUUUUGUUGGUCCAAAAUAAUCUCAGGAUUUAGAUGCCAAAAAAAGAGAAAGGUUUACUGAGAUACCUGGGAAGCAGGCGACAACGCAACACACCCAGCCUUGCUUUCUGAAGCAGCUUUCCUACCCACGUAAGAGGUGUUCCAGAACAUAAACCCGAUCCACAGCUGGGCCCUCGAAGAAGCACAAUCUGUUUCCAAGCUCAGUGUGGAGAUGGCCGGACAGACGAGUGGAAUGCUUGCUACACCAGCAUGAAAACAUGAUUGCAAGUUCCAAGUUUUGAUUUGUAUUCUCUGGUGACUAAUGAGGUUGAACAUUUUUUUUUCAUGGUUUUGGCCAUUUGUAUUCCAUCAUUUGAGAGAUAUCUGCUCAUUUCAUCCAUCUGUUGACUGGGUUGUUUGAGUUUUGGAUGUUUAAGUUUUUGAGUUUUUUGUAUAGUUUAGUAUUUAGCUAUCAAAGACUUCCUCUCAUUCUUUAGAUUGUCUUUUUAACGAACUGUUUCUUUUGAUGGACAGAGCUUUCCAUUUUCAAGAGGUCCCAUUUCAAGAGUUCACUCUUUCCUGAGCAACUGGAGUCCUUCCAAGAAAGAGCCUAUGAUGACUAGGGGGUGGGGGGCACAGGUGUACCUGCAUGUGUAGAAGCCAGAGGUUGACAUCAGGUGUCUUCUUCAACUGUUCUCCAUCUUAUUUUUUGAGGCAAGACCUCUCCCUAAACCUGAGCUGGACUGGCUGGCCAGCAAGGUAAAGAGGUCCAUUUGUCUCCACUUUUAUGUUUAGGGUUACAAACAUGAGUCACCUCAUCUUGUUUCCUUCACGGAUACUGGCAAUCCAGACUCAGAUCUUCACACUUACAUGGUAGACACAUUACCACCUGAGCCAUCUCCCUAGCCUCUGAGCCAUUAUCUUGAUGUGCUUUUCUCAACUUUUUCCUCUAUCAGCUUGAGUUGCACAUGAGGUAUUUUAAAUAGACAACGUAAACUCUUCACUGUCAAGGGUCUGUCCCACUUCAGAAAUAUUUCAGUUAUUAUUUCUAAAAACUAAACUUGCAUAUACAGAAAGAAAGGCUGAGUGUCCCUCCCCGCAGGUCUUCGUGUGCAUAAUUAUCAGAUAACUAUUUUCUUUGUUGGCAAUUUCUGUGUGAGCACUGUAACAGCAUGCCCGGUUGUUUAUUAACAUGUCCACUGAUGACCUGUUAGCUUCUUUUUAAAUUCGUUCUAUUUUGUUUGCUUUUGAGAUAUCUAAAACCCAGGAAAUGUGGAAACAUUGGGAUCCCAAAAUACUACUACGCUCUCUGCCAAAUGCCUUCCAAAUACCUAAAUCUCCUGGGCUUCUGUUUUCAUAUCCUCUCAUGUUUUGCUGUUUAUUAACACACCAAACUGAGUUAUGAGGGUUCUUCUUUUGCGAUUCUGAAUUAUAAAGAGUAUAAUCCAAACUACUGAGAAUGAGACACAUGCCAAAGAAAACUUGCCUAGACUCCAAAAGCAUCAAUAUUAGAAAGGGGGGAAAAUUGUGGAAACCACACUUAGUCAAAUGCUGUGUGUUUCAAGCUAGAUACGGCUUUAAAAAAAAAAAAAAAGAGCAUAGUCUAGGCUUAUGACUCAGGCCUAGAAUUUAACAAAUCCUGGGUUUAAUCUCCAGCAUAAACUGGACCUGGUACACCCUGAAAACCCAGCAUUCACAAACAGAAGGAUCAGAAGCUCAGAGGAUCCUUGGCUACAUACUGAUCGAGUCCAGCCUUGGGUGAAAAAGCUCUGUCUGAAAAAACAUAUAAAAC